GUUAGAUUUGUAGUAUUUUUGUGAAGAAUAAGGUACACAUAAAUAAUAUUUUGAGUUCUGAUGAUAUGUAUGGGCAGUCUUCAUCUAGUUUUGGUACAGACCAAUUACAAAGUCAAUUAAUUGAUUUAGACAUGGAAAUUAAUGAUAGCAUUUAUAACAUACCUUAUUAACUAUCCCACUGAAGAUGAUUUGCUUAAACUUAAAAAUCAAUUAACAAAAUGGAACUUACUAUGUGUAUACCAGACGUGUAUUGACCAACUAAUUGAUCUCAAGAUUAUGGCACUUAUGAGAUUAGAACAUGUAUAUAAAUUAUUAGAAAAAUUUCCUUUGGGGAUUAUAAUAUUAUUUGAAUCUGAACUAAUAAAAUGGCAAAAAAAUAUAAGCAUUAAUGACACCGUUGUUAAAAGUAAUGUAUCUAAUGAAAUAGUACAUGCUCCAGUUUGUGUUGAAAAUACUUAUUAUUAUAAGAAACUUAAUAAACUAUUAAUGAUGGAAUAAGAUCAACAUUAGUAGACUUAAUUAUCAGCUAUAUGGUAACAAAACAUUUAUCAAUGUCAAUUGGCUUUGAAAAGUCUAUGGCCAAUCAAAUAGUAGCCAUGUUCAAAACAGAAAUUAAGAAAUCCUAAAGAAAAAUUAUACACCAAGUACUUCAAUUCUGUGAGGAGUUCAAAAACAAAUGGGUUAAUAGAAAGUGCACCAACAGUUAUAACUGUUUACUAUAGUAAACCUAACAACAAUGAUAAUUCAAAAGAUUGUACAGUUGACGGACGUGGUUGGACACAAAAAGAGUUUGAUUUAGAAAAGAACUGGAAGGCUACAAUUAAUUACAGACUUAAUUAUAUUAAAAAUUCUUCAUACACUAAUGAUGUAUUGAAAAUGUGGAAGCAAUAUUUAGUACUAUAUGGACAUAAACUAGCAGUUCCCUUAGACUGGUUAGACUAUCCCUCACUUAGAUACUCUUCUAUAAUAUGGUGUGGUAUCAUAGACCGCUGCAAUUUCUUUUUUGUUUAGGUGAUAACUGUGUGGUGUAGUCUAUGAAUAAAAGCACUAAAUAAUUGACAUAGACUAUAAUGAGUAUAAUGCAUUAUUUCCCAAUUGUGCCAAUAUUUAUGAUGAGUUUAAUUUAAAAAUUGAUAAGGUGCUUACAAUUAUGGAUGUAAAAAUAAAAGAUAU
Molecule: long non-coding RNA, 1173 nt
Organism: Diuraphis noxia (Russian wheat aphid)
Lineage: Eukaryota; Metazoa; Arthropoda; Insecta; Hemiptera; Aphididae
Source: RefSeq, a predicted model, not a curated record